This is a non-coding RNA of Oryza glumipatula, 193 nucleotides long. The record is from Rfam. Lineage: Eukaryota; Viridiplantae; Streptophyta; Magnoliopsida; Poales; Poaceae.
UUUAAGUGCAACCAUAAAUUCCGUGCUCAACUUUAAUCGUUCGUCUUAUUUGAAUUUUUUAUAGUUAAUAUUUUUAUUGUUAAGAGAUGAUAAAACAUGAAUAGUCAUUUUUACGUGACUUAUGUUUUUUAAAUUUUUUUCAAAUAAGACAGACGAUCAAAGUUGUGCACGUAAAAUCAUGACUGCACUUAAA